RNAcentral lists this ribosomal RNA (629 nucleotides) under uncultured bacterium. RNAcentral describes it as "bacterial SSU rRNA". It matches the Rfam family "Bacterial small subunit ribosomal RNA", at positions 243 to 864 of the family's 1533-position model. The record is from RNAcentral.
AGCUAGUUGGUGAGGUAACGGCCCACCAAGGCUAAGACGGGUAGCUGGUCUGAGAGGACGACCAGCCACACUGGAACUGAGACACGGUCCAGACACCUACGGGUGGCAGCAGUCGAGAAUUUUUCACAAUGGGCGAAAGCCUGAUGGAGCGACGCCGCGUGGGGGAUGAAUGGCUUCGGCCCGUAAACCCCUGUCAUUCGCGAGCAAUGCCUUCCCGAUAACACCGGGACGGUUGAUCGUAGCGAAAGAGGAAGGGACGGCUAACUCUGUGCCAGCAGCCGCGGUAAUACAGAGGUCCCAAGCGUUGUUCGGAUUCACUGGGCGUAAAGGGUGCGUAGGUGGUGAGGUAAGUUCGGUGUGAAAUCUCCGGGCUCAACCCGGAAAAGGCAUUGAAUACUAUCUUGCUAGAGGUUUGGAGGGGGGACUGGAAUUCUCGGUGUAGCAGUGAAAUGCGUAGAUAUCGAGAGGAACACCGGUGGCGAAGGCGAGUCCCUGGACAACACCUGACACUGAGGCACGAAAGCUAGGGGAGCAAACAGGAUUAGAUACCCUGGUAGUCCUAGCCCUAAACGGUGCACAUUUGCUGUGGGCGGAAUCGACCCCGUCCGUGGCGAAGCUAACGCGAUAAA